Molecule: ribosomal RNA, 253 nt
Filed under: uncultured bacterium
Lineage: Bacteria
Description: partial 16S ribosomal RNA
Rfam family: Bacterial small subunit ribosomal RNA
Source: RNAcentral
UACGUAGGGGGCAAGCGUUGUCCGGAUUUAUUGGGCGUAAAGAGCGUGUAGGCGGCCAUGUAGGUCCGUUGUGAAAACUCGAGGCUCAACCUCGAGACGCCGAUGGAAACCAUGUGGCUAGAGUCCGGAAGAGGAGAGUGGAAUUCCUGGUGUAGCGGUGAAAUGCGCAGAUAUCAGGAAGAACACCCGUGGCUAAGGCGGCUCUCUAGUACGGUACUGACGCUGAGGCGCGAAAGCGUGGGGAGCAAACAGG